AUGGUUUUUAAAGCUCUUCAUAAAAAUAAAAUUGCCCGUUCCAACUUCAUGGAAAUCAUGUCCAUUGCCAUUGAGGGCAAGAAGUACAUUAAGGAGUUGGAAUCUCAUCUCGAGGAGCAUGAGGUCACCAUUGAGAAAAUGGAAGGUCAUGAGCGUGAUUAUGCUAAUGAGAUCGUGGACCUCUCUCAAGCUCUUGAACUUGAACAAACCACCAAGGAAUCUCUUGUGGAGACUUUUGCUCUAGAAUUAUCUAGAGUGAGGGAAUCUCGUGAUAGAGCUCUUGAGGUGGCCAAUGAUUUUGAAACUAAAAAUGAGGAGCUUGAAGUUGCGCAUGCUAAACUCCUCGAGGACUUUGAGCACCUUGAAAAUGGCUCAAGGGUCAUUAAGAGUGAGCUCAUCAAACUCACCAAGUCUCAUGCUCAACUUAAAGAUUCAUAUUCAAAAGAGCUUGCCAAGUUGUCUUCUCCUCUUGUUGCUAAUGAUGAUGCUUGUGCUACUAACUCUACAUAUUGA
Molecule: ribosomal RNA, 513 nt
Filed under: Triticum aestivum (bread wheat)
Lineage: Eukaryota; Viridiplantae; Streptophyta; Magnoliopsida; Poales; Poaceae
Description: partial small subunit ribosomal RNA
Source: RNAcentral